RNAcentral lists this ribosomal RNA (354 nucleotides) under Salmonella enterica subsp. enterica serovar Agona. Its description in RNAcentral is "partial 23S ribosomal RNA". It matches the Rfam family "Bacterial large subunit ribosomal RNA", at positions 1192 to 1547 of the family's 2925-position model. The record is from RNAcentral. Lineage: Bacteria; Pseudomonadati; Pseudomonadota; Gammaproteobacteria; Enterobacterales; Enterobacteriaceae.
CACCGAAGCUGCGGCAGCGACACUCAGGUGUUGUUGGGUAGGGGAGCGUUCUGUAAGCCUGCGAAGGUGGCCUGUGAGGGUUGCUGGAGGUAUCAGAAGUGCGAAUGCUGACAUAAGUAACGAUAAAGCGGGUGAAAAGCCCGCUCGCCGGAAGACCAAGGGUUCCUGUCCAACGUUAAUCGGGGCAGGGUGAGUCGACCCCUAAGGCGAGGCCGAAAGGCGUAGUCGAUGGGAAACGGGUUAAUAUUCCCGUACUUGGUGUUACUGCGAAGGGGGGACGGAGAAGGCUAUGUUGGCCGGGCGACGGUUGUCCCGGUUUAAGCGUGUAGGUGUGUGUUCCAGGUAAAUCCGGUU